GUGCACAAUUUCAUUGUCUUUUUUUCUUUACAUCAGGAAAAAAGAUAUUUCUGAUGUGCUAAAUAAACUUUUGGAGGUCUAUUAGCAGCAUGACUAAUAUAGCCAUUGCUGUCAGUCACCUUCAGACAAGC
Small nucleolar RNA from Ursus americanus (American black bear), 131 nucleotides. Lineage: Eukaryota; Metazoa; Chordata; Mammalia; Carnivora; Ursidae. The record is from Ensembl.